GGGAACGUGCCCUUCGGUUCGGAAUAACUCAGGGAAACUUGAGCUAAUACCGGAUACGCCCUUAUGGGGAAAGGUUUACUGCCGAAGGAUCGGCCCGCGUCUGAUUAGCUAGUUGGUGAGGUUACGGCUCGCCAAGGCGACGAUCAGUAGCUGGUCUGAGAGGAUGAUCAGCCACACUGGGACUGAGACACGGCCCAGACUCCUACGGGAGGCAGCAGUGGGGAAUAUUGGACAAUGGGGGCAACCCUGAUCCAGCCAUGCCGCGUGAGUGAUGACGGCCUUAGGGUUGUAAAGCUCUUUUCUCCGGGACGAUAAUGACGGUACCGGAGGAAUAAGCCCCGGCUAACUUCGUGCCAGCAGCCGCGGUAAUACGAAGGGGGCUAGCGUUGCUCGGAAUCACUGGGCGUAAAGGGCGCGUAGGCGGCUGAUUUAGUCGAGGGUGAAAGCCCGUGGCUCAACCACGGAAUGGCCUUCGAUACUGGUUGGCUUGAGACCGGAAGAGGACAGCGGAACUGCGAGU
This 520-nucleotide ribosomal RNA is filed under the name uncultured bacterium. RNAcentral describes it as "bacterial SSU rRNA". It matches the Rfam family "Bacterial small subunit ribosomal RNA", at positions 120 to 674 of the family's 1533-position model. The record is from RNAcentral.